UUCUCAUUUUAUUUCAUUGAGUUGAUCUUCAAUCUCUGAUAUCCUUUCUUCUGCUUGGUCGAUUCAGCUAUCGAAGCUUGUGUACACUUCAUGAAAUUCUCAUGGUGUGUUUUUCAGCUCCAUCAAGUCGUUUAUAUUCUUCUCUAAGCUGUUUUUCUAGCUGGAAUUUUGUCAAAC
This is a long non-coding RNA of Sapajus apella (tufted capuchin), 177 nucleotides long. RefSeq lists it as uncharacterized. The record is from RefSeq and is a predicted model, not a curated record. The transcript is spliced from 3 exons. Lineage: Eukaryota; Metazoa; Chordata; Mammalia; Primates; Cebidae.